CUGGAUCGAGCCCACGCCGGGGCAUACGCCGGGUCAUAUCAGCAUCCGUCUGUCGUCCUGCGGAUGCCAUGGUGUGCUGACCGGCGACGUCAUGCAUAGCCCCAUUCAGUGUACGUUCCCGGAUUGGGGCGCAGCUGGCGACGGGGACAAGGAGCUCGCGCGGAAAACCCGCAAGAGUUUCCUCGAUCGCUAUGCAGAAACCGAUACGCGGAUCAUGACGGCGCAUUUC
RNAcentral lists this unclassified non-coding RNA (229 nucleotides) under Hevea brasiliensis (rubber tree). Lineage: Eukaryota; Viridiplantae; Streptophyta; Magnoliopsida; Malpighiales; Euphorbiaceae. The record is from RNAcentral.